This 97-nucleotide Y RNA is filed under the name Carlito syrichta (Philippine tarsier). RNAcentral's name for it is "Y RNA (ENSTSYG00000033587.1)". It matches the Rfam family "Y RNA". From Rfam's summary of the family: Y RNAs are components of the Ro ribonucleoprotein particle (Ro RNP), in association with Ro60 and La proteins. The Y RNAs and Ro60 and La proteins are well conserved, but the function of the Ro RNP is not known. Lineage: Eukaryota; Metazoa; Chordata; Mammalia; Primates; Tarsiidae. The record is from Rfam by way of RNAcentral.
GGUUGCUCCCAGUGCAAUGGUGUUUACAAUUGAUCACACUACUUACAUAUGUCUUUGUUGCUUCUCCACUCUCACUGCUUCACUUAACUAGCCUUAA